GCCUUCGGGUUGUAAAGCACUUUUAUCAGGAGCGAAAUGCCAUGGGCUAAUACCCCGUGGAGCUGACGGUACCUGAGGAAUAAGCACCGGCUAACUUCGUGCCAGCAGCCGCGGUAAUACGAAGGGUGCAAGCGUUAAUCGGAAUUACUGGGCGUAAAGGGUGCGUAGGCGGUUCGUUAAGUCUGUCGUGAAAUCCCCGGGCUCAACCUGGGAAUGGCGAUGGAUACUGGCGAGCUAGAGUGUGUCAGAGGAUGGUGGAAUUCCCGGUGUAGCGGUGAAAUGCGUAGAGAUCGGGAGGAACAUCAAUGGCGAAGGCGACCAUCUGGGACAACACUGACGCUGAUGCACGAAAGCGUGGGGAGCAAACAGGAUUAGAUACCCUGGUAGUCCACGCCCUAAACGAUGCAACUGGAUGUUGGUCUCAACUCGGAUAUCAGUGUC
Molecule: ribosomal RNA, 441 nt
Filed under: uncultured bacterium
Lineage: Bacteria
Description: bacterial SSU rRNA
Rfam family: Bacterial small subunit ribosomal RNA
Source: RNAcentral